AAGUCGUAACAAGGUUUCCGUAGGUGAACCUGCGGAAGGAUCAUUAAAAAAUUUAAAAAAACCAUAAGAGCUUUCUAUUCUUUUUCUAACGGAAAAGGAUAGAUGCUCAUAUGAACCUUGUGUGCACUGUUAUAACGUUUUUGACGUUUUCAGAAGUUUUCCGGUGGUUUAAAAGUUGAUAUGAAAGUAUCAACCCGCCGGGAAGUGGAGAAUCGUCAUUCUUAUAUGAAACCCUUAUUAUUAUAUAGCCUUGACUGAAGUUAAAUCUAUUUUUGCUUUUAUUAGUAAAAUAGAAGAAUUUUGUAAUAAUUAAAAUACAACUUUCAACAACGGAUCUCUUGGCUCUC
Molecule: unclassified non-coding RNA, 347 nt
Filed under: fungal sp.
Lineage: Eukaryota; Fungi
Description: partial internal transcribed spacer region
Rfam family: Eukaryotic small subunit ribosomal RNA (bases 1-46)
Source: RNAcentral